This 24-nucleotide small nuclear RNA is filed under the name Arabidopsis thaliana (thale cress). RNAcentral describes it as "snRNA_15257". Lineage: Eukaryota; Viridiplantae; Streptophyta; Magnoliopsida; Brassicales; Brassicaceae. The record is from RNAcentral.
AAGCACGUUGAGGGUAAGAUGUGA